RNAcentral lists this ribosomal RNA (538 nucleotides) under uncultured Glomus. RNAcentral's name for it is "SSU rRNA". It matches the Rfam family "Eukaryotic small subunit ribosomal RNA", at positions 569 to 1102 of the family's 1831-position model. The record is from RNAcentral. Lineage: Eukaryota; Fungi; Glomeromycota; Glomeromycetes; Glomerales; Glomeraceae.
AGCAGCCGCGGUAAUUCCAGCUCCAAUAGCGUAUAUUAAAGUUGUUGCAGUUAAAAAGCUCGUAGUUGAAUUUCGGGAUCAAUACGUCGGUCGUGCUUCGGUACGUACUGGCGUCACUGAUUUCUCCCUUCUGACGAACCAUGAUGUCAUUAACUUGGUGUCAUGGGAAAUCAGGACUGUUACUUUGAAAAAAUUAGAGUGUUUAAAGCAGGCUCACGCUUGAAUACAUUAGCAUGGAAUAAUGAAAUAGGACGUUCGAUCCUAUUUUGUGGUUUUUAGGACCAACGUAAUGAUUAAUAGGGAUAGUUGGGGGCAUUAGUAUUCAAUUGUCAGAGGUGAAAAUUCUUGGAUUUAUUGAAGACUAACUACUGCGAAAGCAUUUGCCAAGGAUGUUUUCAUUAAUCAAGAACGAAAGUUAGGGAUCGAAGACGAUCAGAUACCGUCGUAGUCUUAACCAUAAACUAUGCCGACUAGGGAUCGGGAUGAUUGUUUAAAUUUUUAUGUACUCUAUUCGGCGUCCGUUACGGGAAAACCUUAA